UACGAAGGGUGCAAACGUUGCUCGGAAUUAUUGGGCGUAAAGCGCACGUAGGCGGCUUGGCAAGUCGGAUGUGAAAUCCCUCGGCUCAACCAAGGAAGUGCAUCCGAAACUGCCGAGCUUGAGUACUGAAGAGGGUCGCGGAAUUCCCGGUGUAGAGGUGAAAUUCGUAGAUAUCGGGAGGAACACCAGUGGCGAAGGCGGCGACCUGGGCAGAUACUGACACUGAGGUGCGAAAGCGUGGGGAGCAAACAGG
RNAcentral lists this ribosomal RNA (253 nucleotides) under uncultured bacterium. Its description in RNAcentral is "partial 16S ribosomal RNA". It matches the Rfam family "Bacterial small subunit ribosomal RNA", at positions 524 to 776 of the family's 1533-position model. The record is from RNAcentral.